UGGUAUAAAUUUGUAAAGCUAUUUUCAACUAAAACAGAUCUAAAAAGCCAAGUGACAAAAGAGAGAUGCUUAUUGACACUCCUGCCAUCUUCAGAAGAUGCACAGAAACAAUAGUGAACCAAAAAAUCAGAAUAUGAUACAGAUACGCUUUAGGAUACACGGGACCCAGAUCUACAGGUAAAUACACACUUGGAGAGUGUGGAAACCUGAUCAGCCCCUACUCUUACAUGCUACAGUGCACAGCAUGUUGCCAAUGAGACAUGAGGAGAGGGCAGACUUAAAACCAAAGGCAGAGCCUUGACCUACACCACUCCCCAAGGAGACGGUGCCCUGAGAAGAGGAUGCAAGAGUGAGAGAAUACAUCUGUCAUGAAGGCCUCACAGAGCUCCCAGGACUUUGCACCUGUCUCAGGUCUUCCAUUUCUGAUCAGUAGCUCUCCUGGGUCUACCCUGCUGCAUCCUAGAAUGUCUAACAGGGUUAAAUGCUAACUAUGUUGGAUAAAAAAUUAAAAGCCUUGCCUACUCUGUGUCAAAGUA
This is a long non-coding RNA of Psammomys obesus (fat sand rat), 536 nucleotides long. RefSeq lists it as uncharacterized. The record is from RefSeq and is a predicted model, not a curated record. The transcript has 3 exons. NCBI's taxonomy places the organism in Eukaryota, Metazoa, Chordata, Mammalia, Rodentia, Muridae.